UACGUAGGGUGCAAGCGUUAUCCGGAAUCAUUGGGCGUAAAGCGCGCGUAGGUGGCCUCAUAAGUCCGCUGUGAAAGUCAAAGGCUCAACCUUUGAAAGCCGGUGGAUACUGUGAGGCUAGAGUACGGAAGAGGCGAGUGGAAUUCCUGGUGUAGCGGUGGAAUGCGCAGAUAUCAGGAGGAACACCAAUAGCGAAGGCAGCUCGCUGGGACGUUACUGACACUGAGGCGCGAAAGCGUGGGGAGCGAACAGG
RNAcentral lists this ribosomal RNA (253 nucleotides) under uncultured bacterium. RNAcentral describes it as "partial 16S ribosomal RNA". It matches the Rfam family "Bacterial small subunit ribosomal RNA", at positions 524 to 776 of the family's 1533-position model. The record is from RNAcentral.